This 247-nucleotide ribosomal RNA is filed under the name uncultured bacterium. Its description in RNAcentral is "partial 16S ribosomal RNA". It matches the Rfam family "Bacterial small subunit ribosomal RNA", at positions 523 to 769 of the family's 1533-position model. The record is from RNAcentral.
AUACGUAGGGUGCGAGCGUUAAUCGGAAUUACUGGGCGUAAAGCGUGCGCAGGCGGUUUUGUAAGACAGGCGUGAAAUCCCCGGGCUCAACCUGGGAACUGCGUUUGUGACUGCAAGGCUAGAGUACGGCAGAGGGGGGUGGAAUUCCACGUGUAGCAGUGAAAUGCGUCGAGAUGUGGAGGAACACCAAUGGCGAAGGCAGCCCCCUGGGUCGAUACUGACGCUCAUGCACGAAAGCGUGGGUAGC